This is a small nuclear RNA of Mesocricetus auratus (golden hamster), 106 nucleotides long. Lineage: Eukaryota; Metazoa; Chordata; Mammalia; Rodentia; Cricetidae. The record is from Ensembl.
GUGCUUGUCUUGGCAGCUCAUAUACUAAAGAUGGAACAAUGCAGAAAAAUUAGCAUAUCCCCUGUGGAAGGAUGAUAUGCACAUCCGUGAAGCAUUUUAUGAUUUU